CUCCAGACUCCUACGGGAGGCAGCAGUGGGGAAUAUUGCACAAUGGGGGAAACCCUGAUGCAGCAACGCCGCGUGAGUGAAGAAGUAUUUCGGUAUGUAAAGCUCUAUCAGCAGGGAAGAAGAUGACGGUACCUGAGUAAGAAGCCCCGGCUAACUACGUGCCAGCAGCCGCGGUAAUACGUAGGGGGCAAGCGUUAUCCGGAUUUACUGGGUGUAAAGGGAGCGUAGACGGCUGCGCAAGUCUGAAGUGAAGGCCCGGGGCUCAACCCCGGGACUGCUUUGGAAACUGUGUAGCUAGAGUGCUGGAGAGGCAAGCGGAAUUCCUAGUGUAGCGGUGAAAUGCGUAGAUAUUAGGAAGAACACCAGUGGCGAAGGCGGCUCGCUGGACAGUAACUGACGUUGAGGCUCGAAAGCGUGGGGAGCAAACAGGAUUAGAUACCCGAGUAGA
Molecule: ribosomal RNA, 448 nt
Filed under: uncultured bacterium
Lineage: Bacteria
Description: bacterial SSU rRNA
Rfam family: Bacterial small subunit ribosomal RNA
Source: RNAcentral